Molecule: ribosomal RNA, 772 nt
Filed under: uncultured bacterium
Lineage: Bacteria
Description: bacterial SSU rRNA
Rfam family: Bacterial small subunit ribosomal RNA
Source: RNAcentral
AGAGUUUGAUCCUGGCUCAGGACGAACGCUGGCGGCGUGCUUAACACAUGCAAGUCGAACGGUGAACUCCUUCGGGAGGGAUCAGUGGCGAACGGGUGAGUAACACGUGGGCAACCUGCCCCCGGCUCUGGGAUAACUCCAAGAAAUUGGGGCUAAUACCGGAUGGUCACUGCGCACCGCAUGGUGGGUGGUGGAAAGGGUUUCCGGCUGGGGAUGGGCCCGCGGCCUAUCAGCUUGUUGGUGGGGUAGUGGCCUACCAAGGCGACGACGGGUAGCCGGCCUGAGAGGGUGACCGGCCACACUGGGACUGAGACACGGCCCAGACUCCUACGGGAGGCAGCAGUGGGGAAUAUUGCGCAAUGGGCGGAAGCCUGACGCAGCGACGCCGCGUGGGGGAUGACGGCCUUCGGGUUGUAAACCUCUUUCAGCAGGGACGAAGCGCAAGUGACGGUACCUGCAGAAGAAGCACCGGCCAACUACGUGCCAGCAGCCGCGGUAAUACGUAGGGUGCAAGCGUUGUCCGGAAUUAUUGGGCGUAAAGAGCUCGUAGGCGGUUCGUCGCGUCGGCUGUGAAAACCCGGAGCUCAACUCCGGGCCUGCAGUCGAUACGGGCGGACUUGAGUUCGGCAGGGGAGACUGGAAUUCCUGGUGUAGCGGUGAAAUGCGCAGAUAUCAGGAGGAACACCGGUGGCGAAGGCGGGUCUCUGGGCCGAAACUGACGCUGAGGAGCGAAAGCGUGGGGAGCGAACAGGAUUAGAUACCCUAGUAGUCC